Molecule: long non-coding RNA, 743 nt
Organism: Papaver somniferum (opium poppy)
Lineage: Eukaryota; Viridiplantae; Streptophyta; Magnoliopsida; Ranunculales; Papaveraceae
Exons: 4
Source: RefSeq, a predicted model, not a curated record
GCCUGAAUUAAAAAGAAAUGAAAAGUUAUCAUUUCACCUUUCAGCUCUAAUAUCAAAUCCGUAAUUUGAGAUUUCACUUCAAAUUAUCAUGAAUGGUAUACCUGAUUUGGGCCGUCUCGUACAUCGACUUCUGUGAGCCAUAUGGAAACUCGUGCUGCAGCAAGAGUAUCAAUUGCUGCUCUCAUAUAUUCAGCAGGUGACGCCUUCGAAUCACCACUCCGCUCUAUUGUAUUGUAGUCAUUCAAGAACAUGGGUGUUCUUCUGUCAAGAUGGUGUGCUUUCUGGAAAUAAACUUGCGAAGCAUUUACCCCAAGCAUACUUUCGAAGUAUGAAAAGUGUGAAAGUGAUUUUACCCACCAGGGUUGGUACUUCGCGUCAUCCCAUAAGAUUGUGUGACCUCGAACAGUGCAGUAAUAAUGGUGUGAUUUGGGUAAACAAGCAGUACCUGAAAGUAGAGAUCGGCAUAACCAGAUGAAUCAACAGUAAGGCCGCCUUUCAGCAUGGACCAGCAACCAGAUUGAGCAAUAGUGGAACCCGCAUGUGUAAAUCCGUCAGUUGUUUUGAAAAUGGCCUCUACUGUCUCUUCUCCUUCACUCACUUGUAUCCAAGCUGAAAAAACACCAGAAAUUUUAGAUUUCAGAAUAAAAAUCUGUAAUCUCUCCCGGUCUCAUGUACUCAAGACUAAUAGUUGCACAACUUGCAGAAACAUUUUAAAUUUUACCUGAAAAUGUGUAAAGCUUCCU